Loxodonta africana (African savanna elephant) is the source of this 131-nucleotide non-coding RNA. Lineage: Eukaryota; Metazoa; Chordata; Mammalia; Proboscidea; Elephantidae. The record is from Rfam.
AAAACAAAGGUGUCUUUGCCAAUAUUAUGUUUUGCUUUGACAAGGCAUGAGAUGUCUGAGGGAAUCCACUAUGAAUGGGAUCAGGCCAUUCAUUUAUGUUGUGCACAAAUAUAAUUUUAAGAUACGACCUC